AAUAUGAGAGUUUGAUCCUGGCUCAGAAUGAACGUUGGCGGCACGCCUAAUACAUGCAAGUCGAACGCGAUCUUCGGAUCGAGUGGCGGACGGGUGAGUAAUACAUGGGAAUCUACCGAGAAGUGGGGAACAACUAUUGGAAACAGUAGCUAAUACCGCAUAAUCCACAUUGGGAAAGCUUUUGCGCUUUUCGAUGAGCCCAUGUCUGAUUAGCUAGUUGGUAAGGUAAAAGCUUACCAAGGCGACGAUCAGUAGCUGGUUUGAGAGGAUGAUCAGCCACACUGGGACUGAGACACGGCCCAGACUCCUACGGGAGGCAGCAGUAGGGAAUCUUGCGCAAUGGGCGAAAGCCUGACGCAGCGAUGCCGCGUGAGUGAUGACGGUUUUCGGACUGUAAAGCUCUUUUAUUAGGGAAGAUAAUGACGGUACCUAAAGAAAAAGUCCCGGCUAACUCCGUGCCAGCAGCCGCGGUAAUACGGAGGGGGCGAACGUUAUUCGGAUUUACUGGGCGUAAAGCGACUGUAGGCGGUCUUGCAAGCCAGAUGUGAAAUCCCCGGGCUUAACCUGGGAAUUGCAUUUGGAACUGCAUCACUAGAGUUAUGGAGAGGUAAGUGGAAUUUCCAGUGUAGAGGUGAAAUUCGUAGAUAUUGGAAGGAACACCAGAGGCGAAGGCGACUUACUGGCCAUAUACUGACGCUGAGAGUCGAAAGCGUGGGGAGCAAACAGGAUUAGAUACCCUGGUAGUCCACGCCGUAAACGAUGAGUGCUAACUGUCGGGAUCUCAGAUCUCGGUGGUGUAAGCUAACGCGUUAAGCACUCCGCCUGGGGAGUACGGCCGCAAGGUUAAAACUCAAAGGAAUUGACGGGGACCCGCACAAGUGGUGGAGCAUGUUGUUUAAUUCGAAGCAACGCGAAGAACCUUACCUAGCCUUGACAUGUGUAUCGUACGCUAUAGAAGUAUAGCGGUCAGUUCGGCUGGAUACAACACAGGUGUUGCAUGGCUGUCGUCAGCUCGUGUCGUGAGAUGUUCGGUUAAGUCCGGCAACGAGCGCAACCCUCACCCUUAGUUGCCAUCAUUAAGUUGGGCACUCUAAGGGAACUGCCUGGGAUAACCAGGAGGAAGGUGAGGAUGACGUCAAGUCAUCAUGGCCCUUACGGCUAGGGCUACAGACGUGCUACAAUGGAUUGUACAGAGGGACGCAAUACGGCGACGUGGAGCAAAUCCCUAAAACAAUUCUCAGUUCGGAUUGGAGUCUGCAACUCGACUCCAUGAAGUUGGAAUCACUAGUAAUCGUGGAUCAGCAUGCCACGGUGAAUACGUUCCCGGGUCUUGUACACACCGCCUGUCACGUCAUGGGAGUGGGGUUUUCCUGAAGCUGGUGAGCUAACCUUCGGGGGGCAGCCAUCCACGGAAGAACUCGCGACUGGGACGAAGUCAUAACAAGGUAGGCGUACCGGAAGGUGCGCCUGGAUCACCUCCUUUCUAA
Molecule: ribosomal RNA, 1487 nt
Filed under: Alphaproteobacteria bacterium
Lineage: Bacteria; Pseudomonadati; Pseudomonadota; Alphaproteobacteria
Description: 16S ribosomal RNA
Rfam family: Bacterial small subunit ribosomal RNA
Source: RNAcentral